GACAGAGGCCUCGAGCGUUAGGCGGAAUCACUGGGCUUAAAGCGUGUGUAGGCGGGCCCGUAAGUGUCUUGUGAAAUCCCACGGCUCAACCGUGGAACUGCUGGGCAUACUGCGGGUCUUGGGCCAACUAGGGGCAGCCGGAACAAGCGGUGGAGCGGUGAAAUGCGUAGAUAUCAGGAGGAACACCGAUGGCGAAGGCAGCUCGCUGGGACGGUACUGACGCUGAGACGCGAAAGCGUGGGGAGCGAACAGG
This 253-nucleotide ribosomal RNA is filed under the name uncultured bacterium. RNAcentral's name for it is "partial 16S ribosomal RNA". It matches the Rfam family "Bacterial small subunit ribosomal RNA", at positions 524 to 776 of the family's 1533-position model. The record is from RNAcentral.